GAUGAACGCUGGCGGCGUGCCUAAUACAUGCAAGUAGAACGCUGAAGGAGGAGCUUGCUCUUCUGGAUGAGUUGCGAACGGGUGAGUAACGCGUAGGUAACCUGCCUGGUAGCGGGGGAUAACUAUUGGAAACGAUAGCUAAUACCGCAUGACAACAGUUAUUGCAUGAUAACUGUUUAAAAGGGGCAACUGCUCCACUACCAGAUGGACCUGCGUUGUAUUAGCUAGUUGGUGAGGUAACGGCUCACCAAGGCGACGAUACAUAGCCGACCUGAGAGGGUGAUCGGCCACACUGGGACUGAGACACGGCCCAGACUCCUACGGGAGGCAGCAGUAGGGAAUCUUCGGCAAUGGGCGGAAGUCUGACCGAGCAACGCCGCGUGAGUGAAGAAGGUUUUCGGAUCGUAAAGCUCUGUUGUAAGGGAAGAACGAGUGUGGGAGUGGAAAGUUCACACUGUGACGGUAUCUUACCAGAAAGGGACGGCUAACUACGUG
RNAcentral lists this ribosomal RNA (495 nucleotides) under uncultured bacterium. RNAcentral describes it as "partial 16S ribosomal RNA". It matches the Rfam family "Bacterial small subunit ribosomal RNA", at positions 28 to 507 of the family's 1533-position model. The record is from RNAcentral.